ACACGUGCGCCCUGCUCGUGGCCCCUACAGCACGUCCGUAUCAGUCGAAAGUAUGGAAGUCGUUUUACGGCUGAGCGGUGUUUUGCUCAUUGCUGGAGGAGGGCUAUCACAAUCAUACCGAAGCCUUUUGAAUUGCCAACGACUGAUGCCGCCCGCACUGACAUCCAUUAUCACUCCCUGCCGUUUUCCAUGUAGGUUAAAAUUUCUUGAGAGUUCUUACGUCAUUAUUUUAGGAUAUGAUCCCGAUGGGACGCCUUGCCAUGU
This is a long non-coding RNA of Rhipicephalus sanguineus (brown dog tick), 264 nucleotides long. RefSeq lists it as uncharacterized. The record is from RefSeq and is a predicted model, not a curated record. Lineage: Eukaryota; Metazoa; Arthropoda; Arachnida; Ixodida; Ixodidae. The transcript is spliced from 3 exons.